GUCAGCAUUCCUCUGCCAGGCCUUGAAUAGAGACCCUGAUUCUUGCAGUAAUAGUGCAGAUUCCCUGUGGGAGUGCAAACCUAUCCUGUGCUCCUGGGUAGGUGGCUCCCUCAAGGUGGACAAUCAGUGUCUUUGUGAAGCCCGGCUGAUGCCACAGAGCAGCUCCAGCCUGCAGCCCCUCGGCAGCCGGAGCUGUGCACACGCUCUUCAGAUGGUUACUGGGGAGAGAAGAAUCCAGGAGACUCACAAACUUCACCAGGAUCAGUGCUGGAUUGUCACAGGAACACGUGUUGUCUCGCUGGAUUAAGGACAAACAGGACUUAAUGGUUUGGAUGACACCUCAGCAGCCGUGUGGGGUGACCUGACAACGAGGAGUCUCCAGCUGGCGAGAGGAACAGACAUGCCAGGGGAUUUGUCAUCGUAGCCACCGGACAUCUGAGGAGAGAAGUUCUGGAGGAAAGACAAACACAAACAAACACGAUCUCAAAGCAGCUGCUCGACAUCAUGUGACCAACCAGGAGAGGACUGCUGGUGGCCGUGUGACAUCAGCAAACAGGAAUUCCUGACUCCACGUCUCCUCCUGCUUCGCCCUCAGGCUGCAGGUUCCUCCUGUUUCUGAUCUCAGCAAAUAACAAACUGAUAAAUCAAACUGCUCGUCUGACGAACGCUGCAUCA
Long non-coding RNA from Pleuronectes platessa (European plaice), 675 nucleotides. RefSeq lists it as uncharacterized. The record is from RefSeq and is a predicted model, not a curated record. Lineage: Eukaryota; Metazoa; Chordata; Actinopteri; Pleuronectiformes; Pleuronectidae. The transcript has 4 exons.